UUUUGUCUGAGCAUGCGAUUAAGUUUUCAGUAUAAGGAACCGUUUAUGUAUUUGAGCUAGCAUUAUUUUCCUAUUGUUCGCUUACGAUAUGUCAAAAAGUGAACGGCUAAUUACCACAGUGUGACAGCCUUUAGAUUCAUCCGUGCGUCUAUAUAUUUAAACUAACAAAUUAUAUAAAAUGCAUACGGGCUCUCCCAAUAAGGAGAGGUGUCAUGUUUAACUCAAUCAAAGCGCACUUAAUACAUAAAUAUGAGUCACUUCACUGGAGGGGGCGAUAUAACGCCCGGCUCGAAGAAUCCACCCAGCACGAAAUUCUCAACCUCCUAGACCCUCCCUCAGGUAUAUCUUUGCCAUGUGUUUAUACAGGGUAGGUGUGCGCUUGGUG
Pelobates cultripes (western spadefoot toad) is the source of this 385-nucleotide non-coding RNA. NCBI's taxonomy places the organism in Eukaryota, Metazoa, Chordata, Amphibia, Anura, Pelobatidae. The record is from the annotation of a GenBank genome assembly.